RNAcentral lists this ribosomal RNA (1563 nucleotides) under Listeria monocytogenes. RNAcentral describes it as "bacterial LSU rRNA". It matches the Rfam family "Bacterial large subunit ribosomal RNA", at positions 1 to 1556 of the family's 2925-position model. The record is from RNAcentral. Lineage: Bacteria; Bacillati; Bacillota; Bacilli; Caryophanales; Listeriaceae.
UUGGUUAAGUUAGAAAGGGCGCACGGUGGAUGCCUUGGCACUAGGAGCCGAAGAAGGACGGGACUAACACCGAUAUGCUUUGGGGAGCUGUACGUAAGCGUUGAUCCAGAGAUUUCCGAAUGGGGGAACCCACUAUCUUUAGUCGGAUAGUAUCCUUACGUGAAUACAUAGCGUGAGGAAGGCAGACCCAGGGAACUGAAACAUCUAAGUACCUGGAGGAAGAGAAAGAAAAAUCGAUUUCCUGAGUAGCGGCGAGCGAAACGGAAAGAGCCCAAACCAAGAAGCUUGCUUCUUGGGGUUGUAGGACACUCUAUACGGAGUUACAAAAGAAAGUUAUAAAUGAAGCGGUCUGGAAAGGCCCGCCAAAGACGGUAACAGCCCGGUAGUUGAAAUGGCUUUCCCUCCAGAGUGGAUCCUGAGUACGGCGGAACACGUGAAAUUCCGUCGGAAUCCGGGAGGACCAUCUCCCAAGGCUAAAUACUCCCUAGUGACCGAUAGUGAACCAGUACCGUGAGGGAAAGGUGAAAAGCACCCCGGAAGGGGAGUGAAACAGUUCCUGAAACCGUGUGCCUACAAGUAGUUAGAGCCCGUUAAUGGGUGAUAGCGUGCCUUUUGUAGAAUGAACCGGCGAGUUACGAUUUGUUGCAAGGUUAAGCGGAAAAAGCGGAGCCGUAGCGAAAGCGAGUCUGAAUAGGGCGCAUAAGUAACAGGUCGUAGACCCGAAACCAGGUGAUCUACCCAUGUCCAGGAUGAAGGUAAGGUAAUACUUACUGGAGGUCCGAACCCACGCACGUUGAAAAGUGCGGGGAUGAGGUGUGGGUAGCGGAGAAAUUCCAAUCGAACUUGGAGAUAGCUGGUUCUCUCCGAAAUAGCUUUAGGGCUAGCCUCGAGGUAAAGAGUCAUGGAGGUAGAGCACUGUUUGGACUAGGGGCCCUUCUCGGGUUACCGAAUUCAGAUAAACUCCGAAUGCCAUGUACUUAUACUCGGGAGUCAGACUGCGAGUGAUAAGAUCCGUAGUCGAAAGGGAAACAGCCCAGACCACCAGUUAAGGUCCCCAAAUAUAUGUUAAGUGGAAAAGGAUGUGGGGUUGCUUAGACAACCAGGAUGUUGGCUUAGAAGCAGCCACCAUUGAAAGAGUGCGUAAUAGCUCACUGGUCGAGUGACCCCGCGCCGAAAAUGUACCGGGGCUAAACAUAUUACCGAAACUGUGGAUGAACCUCUUUAGAGGUUCGUGGUAGGAGAGCGUUCUAAGGGCGGUGAAGUCAGACCGGAAGGACUGGUGGAGCGCUUAGAAGUGAGAAUGCCGGUAUGAGUAGCGAAAGAAGGGUGAGAAUCCCUUCCACCGAAUAUCUAAGGUUUCCUGAGGAAGGCUCGUCCGCUCAGGGUUAGUCGGGACCUAAGCCGAGGCCGAUAGGCGUAGGCGAUGGACAACAGGUAGAGAUUCCUGUACCAGUGCUAAUUGUUUAACCGAUGGGGUGACACAGAAGGAUAGGGAAUCGCACGAAUGGAAAUGUGCGUCCAAGCAGUGAGUGUGAGAAGUAGGCAAAUCCGCUUCUCGCGAAG